This is a long non-coding RNA of Homo sapiens (human), 986 nucleotides long. Ensembl annotates it as Prader-Willi region non-protein coding RNA 1. Its record names the gene PWRN1. Lineage: Eukaryota; Metazoa; Chordata; Mammalia; Primates; Hominidae. The record is from Ensembl.
GAAGUCUGUCAGCCUCUUCAGAUGUCACUUGCCCUGUGGUAAGGAAGUGUAGUCAGCACCUGGUGCAGUGGCAAGAAGAGAAAGGAAGUUCCCCAAGACAGAAACAUCUCAGCAGUGAGUUCCUGAUGAGGGAAGGGAAGUGAAUCCUAAGAACAAUCAUGUGAGUUUGGAAGGAGACCCUUCCCCAGCUGAGCCUCAGCCUGAGCCAUCACCUACAUCUAGACCGAAGACCCAGAGAAACCGCAACAUUCGAAACCCAGGUGCCACUCCUUCAGGAAGGUACCAUCAAGCUCCAAGGACUCUUAUCCUCUUUCUCCUUCCCCACUACCUAGUCAUUAGAGCGUCAGCAUCCACUUCUUGAAAGGAAGAUGCCUGUUUUUCACAUAUCCCAGAAAACCCCAUUUUAGGACAGCAUUUAGCAGAGUAUAUUCAGGAUCCCACUAACCUUUUUGGAAGACAUGACUUCCAGAUGAUAUAAGGCAAGAAUAAGAAAUUUCAGUGACAGGGAACAGAAAUCAUAUUUCUGCAUUCAGGAUCAUGUUUUCUUGGCUCCAUCAGGAACUGUGCAGGACUGUGCACUCUGUUGAUACUCACAUGGUGGAAUUAUAUUGCCUUUGGCCAACCCUAAAGCCAUCAAGAUAGCAGGCUUAGUUUUCUAAAGAUAAUUCUGCCUUCAAGCCUUGUUGGAAUUCUGUGAUAAUGUCUUUUCACUCCACGAUCUCCAUCAGGAAUUUUAUGGAACCUUGUAUUCUGUUGAAUACCAGAAUUACAUCAGCAAUCCCCAAGCCCCAAAGUCACCGGAUGGGCAUCAUUAUGACAGCAGGGUCUAUUGUCUACACCAUGGUAAUAGUGACAGUGAGAAAUGAGCUCCUGUGACCUAGAAACUUGGAAGAGACAUUCAGCUUCAUGGAAGUCAUUCCUCAUUCUUAGAUGAGGAUAACUGUUACGUGGUGUUAUUUGAGCAUUUGUAAUUCAAGAAAACUAAC